This 433-nucleotide ribosomal RNA is filed under the name uncultured bacterium. RNAcentral's name for it is "partial 16S ribosomal RNA". It matches the Rfam family "Bacterial small subunit ribosomal RNA", at positions 29 to 507 of the family's 1533-position model. The record is from RNAcentral.
AACGAACGCUGGCGGCAUGCCUAACACAUGGAAGUCGAACGAUGCCUUCGGGCAUAGUGGCGCACGGGUGCGUAACGCGUGGGAAUCUGCCUUUCGGUUCGGAAUAACUCAGGGAAACUUGAGCUAAUACCGGAUAACGUCGCAAGACCAAAGAUUUAUCACCGAAAGAUGAGCCCGCGUAGGAUUAGCUAGUUGGUGAGGUAAAGGCUCACCAAGGCGACGAUCCUUAGCUGGUCUGAGAGGAUGAUCAGCCACACUGGGACUGAGACACGGCCCAGACUCCUACGGGAGGCAGCAGUGGGGAAUAUUGGACAAUGGGCGAAAGCCUGAUCCAGCAAUGCCGCGUGAGUGAUGAAGGCCUUAGGGUUGUAAAGCUCUUUUACCCGGGAAGAUAAUGACGGUACCGGGAGAAUAAGCCCCGGCUAACUCCGUG